GUAGGUGAACCUGCGGAAGGAUCAUCG
RNAcentral lists this ribosomal RNA (27 nucleotides) under Cooperia oncophora. Its description in RNAcentral is "partial small subunit ribosomal RNA". The record is from RNAcentral. RNAcentral also lists the same sequence under 1 other name. Lineage: Eukaryota; Metazoa; Nematoda; Chromadorea; Rhabditida; Trichostrongylidae.